AUGUCUUUGUCUUCUGUCAAGGGAAGGCCGACCAGGCCGGGCCGACAGAGGAGGGUGGACUUGAUCAAGAAGUCGCUCUCGUGGUCCAAGGCGGCGCCGAUCACAGAGACGGCCAUCCGCGCUGCCGUUGGCGACAAUGUUGUAACUAGAAAGGCUGUGCGCUGGUUGCUGAAGGAGAAGAGAGGGUUGCGUCGUGCGGGCACUGGUGGCCGCUCGGAUCCGUAUGUGUACAUGGUACAUGAAAUCCAUGCCACACAGUUUGCGUUUGGAUGA
This 273-nucleotide ribosomal RNA is filed under the name Triticum aestivum (bread wheat). Its description in RNAcentral is "partial small subunit ribosomal RNA". The record is from RNAcentral. Lineage: Eukaryota; Viridiplantae; Streptophyta; Magnoliopsida; Poales; Poaceae.